Molecule: long non-coding RNA, 938 nt
Filed under: Populus tremula
Lineage: Eukaryota; Viridiplantae; Streptophyta; Magnoliopsida; Malpighiales; Salicaceae
Description: long non-coding RNA (PTRE_LNC000364)
Source: RNAcentral
AAACUUUGCUUGAGCUGCAAUAUUCAUAUCUGCAUAAGGCUUCUAAGGAAGUAGUUCUAAACUCUUCCAAAGAUUCAUUCAAGAUCACUUGCUAUCUUUCAUGAUCCAAUUUAAGGUACUUACUUUGCUAUGUCACAACAGUUACUUGAUGGUAAUAUUACUAUGCAUAAUUGCCGAACAAUUGUGAUUCCCAACAUUAACGUGUUUUAUGUGAUAUUAAGAAGAUAUUCUCCUAAUAUACCUAGAUUCUCUGCUGGGCUAUAUUUACUUGAUACAAACUCAUGAUAUUCAUAGUAAACAAUGGAUAUGAAGAGAACCACACAAACACUGUUCGAAAGAGCUUAUAAACUAAACUGCCACAUUUCUCCGAAUUCGAAUACCUUCAAGCUCCCUUUAGCUUCCCAUUAUCAAUUAUUAGUACAUUUUUCUAGCCAUAUAGUGCCAUAGAUAACUAAGUUAAGCAUCAGAACAGUCACAUUUCUCUGAAUUCAAAAACCUUCAAGCACUCUAUAGCGUCAAAUUCAUGAAAAGAAACUAAUACGAGAAAGAAAAAAAAUUCCAUUAAUUUGUGUAUGUGUUAAUUCUUGAAUUGCAAUGAACAGUAGUGUUUUAAAGAAAAUAACCUUCCAAGCUAACAAGAGCAAGAAAGUCUCAAGGCCCCAGGCUCCUCGAUCAACAUAAUCUCCAUUAAACACAAAAAACCGAUCUUCACAAGGAAAUCCAGCAUCUUGCAACAAAAACAUAACAUCAUGAAGUUGCCCGUGGACAUCUCCUACAACAACCACUCUAGAAUUUUCAUUACAGUCAUCAAUUCUAACACAAUUAGGCUCUUUGUGCAGAAUUUUCGAGGCGGUGAGGACUAAAGCGUCAAAGACGGAAACAGGGAGGACUGAAGGGAGUUCAGAUGGAGGGAGGUUUUUGGAAGACCAAUCAAAGGC